Molecule: ribosomal RNA, 491 nt
Filed under: uncultured bacterium
Lineage: Bacteria
Description: partial 16S ribosomal RNA
Rfam family: Bacterial small subunit ribosomal RNA
Source: RNAcentral
GAUGAACGCUGGCUACAGGCUUAACACAUGCAAGUCGAGGGGAAACGACGGGGAAGCUUGCUUCCCCGGGCGUCGACCGGCGCACGGGUGAGUAACGCGUAUCCAACCUGCCUCUGACUGAGGGAUAACCCGUCGAAAGUCGGCCUAAUACCUCAUGGCAUCGUCUGCGGGCAUCCAACGACGAUUAAAGAUUUCAUCGGUCAGGGAUGGGGAUGCGUCUGAUUAGCUUGUUGGCGGGGUAACGGCCCACCAAGGCUACGAUCAGUAGGGGUUCUGAGAGGAAGGUCCCCUAGAUUGGAACGAAGACCCGGUCCAAACUCCUACGGGAGGCAGCAGUGAGGAAUAGUGGUCAAUGGGCGGGAGCCUGAACCAGCCAAGUAGCGUGCAGGAUGACGGCCCUAUGGGUUGUAAACUGCUUUUAUGCGGGGAUAAAGUGAGGGACGUGUCCUUCAUUGCAGGUACCGCAUGAAUAAGGACCGGCUAAUUCCGUG